Danio rerio (zebrafish) is the source of this 115-nucleotide ribosomal RNA. NCBI's taxonomy places the organism in Eukaryota, Metazoa, Chordata, Actinopteri, Cypriniformes, Danionidae. The record is from Ensembl.
UUUGCCCGCUAGCUCUCUGCAACUCUUACAUGGUUGCCUCCUAAAACUAAGCAGGGCUGCGCCUGGUCAGUACCUGGAUGGUAGACCACAUGGGAAAACUAGGUUGCUGCCGGAA